UAAAAUGUGUCAUGUGUACUUUUUCCCCUGGAGAGCUGGUUGUAAAACAUUUGCCAUCACACCCCUAUAGAGAGAGAUGAUAUGUGUAACAAAUUUUCAGAUGACAGAAUUAAAUGGAGUAGUUCAUAAAAAGUUUUUAAAAGCUUGAAUUCUGAACUGAAACUAAGAAAAUGAAAUUAAAUUGUCAUAAAGUCCUUUAUUAGCCAACUUUCUAAGUAUAAAGCAUUAGCUCAAUAAUGAUGCAUAUGAAAAAGAUACAGGGUGUUUAAGUGCAUUACAACCUCAAUAAUAGCUAAUAUUAGUGUGGUAUGGUAGCCAAGAAACUAAUGUAAUCCUUGACUGAAUGAAUGAAUGGAAAAGCAUUUUUAAGUAUUUACUAUAUUUUAAGCACUAUGCUAGGUGCUAGGGACACAAAUGGAAAAGUGGGGUUGCCCUUGUGCUUAAGGAACUCAUGUUCUAAAUCAGAAAGGGCACUAUAAGUAGAGAGGUAUAGGGUUCAAAAAUGGGAGGUGCUAGUUUGGACUUUGUCUUAGUCAGGCCUUAUCUGGACUGUGGAAUUUGGUUUGGAACACUACAGUUUAGGAAGGACAUUGAAAAACUGAAGCUUUUUAUUAGAAGAGAGCAACCAGGAUAGUGGAGGGUCUUGAAAUCAUGUGAAUGAGAAUAAUUUAAAGCUGAAGCAGUCCUCAUAUAAUUUUUAAAAAUGGAAAUGUUGAGUUUGGACAAGAGAAAGAAAUAAAAUUAAGACUUGAUUUAUUGUUUCACCAAUUUUCUGGACUUCAGAAAGUGGCAGAUAAAAUGUCAAUUGUGUUUCUUUUUCUCAAGGAAGCUGUUUGUUAUACACUUACCAGAACUGUAAGUCUUCAGAGGAAGACUGAAUGACCAAAUCUGGCAACAUUCAAAAGGAGAUUCUACAGCUAACAUUUCCAGAACUACAACUCACAAUAAUGGGGUCCUGGACUUGUUUACUUUGUUCUGAGUUACUAUCAUUAUCACAGGAUCAUAAGACUGUAGAUUUUGAGCUUCAGAGAACUAUUAAGGACCAUCUAUUCCAACCUCUUCAUUUUGCUGAUGAGAUUCAAGUGACUUGGCCAAGGUCCCUGCAAGUUAUAAAUAUUACAGUGGGAUUUGCACUCAUCUACCCACCAAAGAAUGUUUUCUUUGCCUCCAAAGUCAAAAUCAUGCUGGCAACAAAAAUGACAGUCAAGCAUGUAACAUUGACAGAAUGA
Monodelphis domestica (gray short-tailed opossum) is the source of this 1229-nucleotide long non-coding RNA. The record is from Ensembl. Lineage: Eukaryota; Metazoa; Chordata; Mammalia; Didelphimorphia; Didelphidae.